UUAGAAAUCUGUCAUUAUGGAAGUAAC
RNAcentral lists this non-coding RNA (27 nucleotides) under Mus musculus (house mouse). The record is from RNAcentral. Lineage: Eukaryota; Metazoa; Chordata; Mammalia; Rodentia; Muridae.